RNAcentral lists this ribosomal RNA (1489 nucleotides) under Lactiplantibacillus argentoratensis. RNAcentral's name for it is "bacterial SSU rRNA". It matches the Rfam family "Bacterial small subunit ribosomal RNA". The record is from RNAcentral. Lineage: Bacteria; Bacillati; Bacillota; Bacilli; Lactobacillales; Lactobacillaceae.
GACGAACGCUGGCGGCGUGCCUAAUACAUGCAAGUCGAACGAACUCUGGUAUUGAUUGGUGCUUGCAUCAUGAUUUACAUUUGAGUGAGUGGCGAACUGGUGAGUAACACGUGGGAAACCUGCCCAGAAGCGGGGGAUAACACCUGGAAACAGAUGCUAAUACCGCAUAACAACUUGGACCGCAUGGUCCGAGCUUGAAAGAUGGCUUCGGCUAUCACUUUUGGAUGGUCCCGCGGCGUAUUAGCUAGAUGGUGGGGUAACGGCUCACCAUGGCAAUGAUACGUAGCCGACCUGAGAGGGUAAUCGGCCACAUUGGGACUGAGACACGGCCCAAACUCCUACGGGAGGCAGCAGUAGGGAAUCUUCCACAAUGGACGAAAGUCUGAUGGAGCAACGCCGCGUGAGUGAAGAAGGGUUUCGGCUCGUAAAACUCUGUUGUUAAAGAAGAACAUAUCUGAGAGUAACUGUUCAGGUAUUGACGGUAUUUAACCAGAAAGCCACGGCUAACUACGUGCCAGCAGCCGCGGUAAUACGUAGGUGGCAAGCGUUGUCCGGAUUUAUUGGGCGUAAAGCGAGCGCAGGCGGUUUUUUAAGUCUGAUGUGAAAGCCUUCGGCUCAACCGAAGAAGUGCAUCGGAAACUGGGAAACUUGAGUGCAGAAGAGGACAGUGGAACUCCAUGUGUAGCGGUGAAAUGCGUAGAUAUAUGGAAGAACACCAGUGGCGAAGGCGGCUGUCUGGUCUGUAACUGACGCUGAGGCUCGAAAGUAUGGGUAGCAAACAGGAUUAGAUACCCUGGUAGUCCAUACCGUAAACGAUGAAUGCUAAGUGUUGGAGGGUUUCCGCCCUUCAGUGCUGCAGCUAACGCAUUAAGCAUUCCGCCUGGGGUGUACGGCCGCAAGGCUGAAACUCAAAGGAAUUGACGGGGGCCCGCACAAGCGGUGGAGCAUGUGGUUUAAUUCGAAGCUACGCGAAGAACCUUACCAGGUCUUGACAUACUAUGCAAAUCUAAGAGAUUAGACGUUCCCUUCGGGGACAUGGAUACAGGUGGUGCAUGGUUGUCGUCAGCUCGUGUCGUGAGAUGUUGGGUUAAGUCCCGCAACGAGCGCAACCCUUAUUAUCAGUUGCCAGCAUUAAGUUGGGCACUCUGGUGAGACUGCCGGUGACAAACCGGAGGAAGGUGGGGAUGACGUCAAAUCAUCAUGCCCCUUAUGACCUGGGCUACACACGUGCUACAAUGGAUGGUACAACGAGUUGCGAACUCGCGAGGGUAAGCUAAUCUCUUAAAGCCAUUCUCAGUUCGGAUUGUAGGCUGCAACUCGCCUACAUGAAGUCGGAAUCGCUAGUAAUCGCGGAUCAGCAUGCCGCGGUGAAUACGUUCCCGGGCCUUGUACUCACCGCCCGUCACACCAUGAGAGUUUGUAACACCCAAAGUCGGUGGGGUAACCUUUUAGGAACCAGCCGCCUAAGGUGGGACAGAUGAUUAGGGUG